GCCGCGUGAGGGAUGACGGCCUUCGGGUUGUAAACCUCUUUUGGUAGGGAAGAAGCCUUCGGGUGACGGUACCUGCAGAAAAAGCGCCGGCUAACUACGUGCCAGCAGCCGCGGUAAUACGUAGGGCGCAAGCGUUAUCCGGAAUUAUUGGGCGUAAAGAGCUCGUAGGCGGUCUGUCGCGUCUGCUGUGAAAUUCCGAGGCUCAACCUCGGGCUUGCAGUGGGUACGGGCAGACUAGAGUGCGGUAGGGGAGAUUGGAAUUCCUGGUGUAGCGGUGGAAUGCGCAGAUAUCAGGAGGAACACCGAUGGCGAAGGCAGAUCUCUGGGCCGUUACUGACGCUGAGGAGCGAAAGGGUGGGGAGCAAACAGGCUUAGAUACCCUGGUAGUCCACCCCGUAAACGUUGGGAACUAGUUGUGGGGUCCUUUCCACGGAUUCCGUGACGUAGCUAACGCAUUAAGUUCCCCGCCUGGGGAGUACGGCCGCAAGGCUAAAACUCAAAGGAAUUGACGGGGACCCGCACAAGCGGCGGAGCAUGCGGAUUAAUUCGAUGCAACGCGAAGAACCUUACCAAGGCUUGACAUACACCAGAACGGGCCAGAAAUGGUCAACUCUUUGGACACUGGUGAACAGGUGGUGCAUGGUUGUCGUCAGCUCGUGUCGUGAGAUGUUGGGUUAAGUCCCGCAACGAGCGCAACCCUCGUUCUAUGUUGCCAGCACG
Molecule: ribosomal RNA, 720 nt
Filed under: Microbacterium aquimaris
Lineage: Bacteria; Bacillati; Actinomycetota; Actinomycetes; Micrococcales; Microbacteriaceae
Description: bacterial SSU rRNA
Rfam family: Bacterial small subunit ribosomal RNA
Source: RNAcentral